Lycium ferocissimum is the source of this 105-nucleotide small nucleolar RNA. Lineage: Eukaryota; Viridiplantae; Streptophyta; Magnoliopsida; Solanales; Solanaceae. The record is from RefSeq and is a predicted model, not a curated record.
AUGGCGGUGAGGACAAUCUCUGAGAAGACCCUUGAAACUCUCCCAAGCCUGAUACAGAUUCUCCUCUUUUUUCUGCCUGAAUGACAUGAACUCCCUCCUGAGUCU